This 76-nucleotide transfer RNA is filed under the name Candidatus Omnitrophota bacterium. RNAcentral's name for it is "Candidatus Omnitrophica bacterium (sediment metagenome) tRNA-Lys". It matches the Rfam family "tRNA". From Rfam's summary of the family: Transfer RNA (tRNA) molecules are approximately 80 nucleotides in length. Their secondary structure includes four short double-helical elements and three loops (D, anti-codon, and T loops). Further hydrogen bonds mediate the characteristic L-shaped molecular structure. tRNAs have two regions of fundamental functional importance: the anti-codon, which is responsible for specific mRNA codon recognition, and the 3' end, to which the tRNAs corresponding amino acid is attached (by aminoacyl-tRNA synthetases). tRNAs cope with the degeneracy of the genetic code in two manners: having more than one tRNA (with a specific anti-codon) for a particular amino acid; and 'wobble' base-pairing, i.e. permitting non-standard base-pairing at the 3rd anti-codon position. The record is from RNAcentral. Lineage: Bacteria; Pseudomonadati; Candidatus Omnitrophota.
GGGACAUUAGCUCAUCCGGUAGAGCAUCUGACUCUUAAUCAGAGGGUGGCUGGUUCGAGUCCAGCAUGUCCCACCA